GAUGAACGCUGGCGGCGUGCCUAAUACAUGCAAGUCGAGCGAACAGACGAGGAGCUUGCUCCUCUGUCGUUAGCGGCGGACGUGUGAGUAACACGUGGAUAACCUACCUUUAAGACUGGGAUAACUUCGGGAAACCGGCGCUAAUACCGUAUAAUAUCUUUAACCGCAUGGUUCAAUAGUGAAAUACGGUUUUGCUGUCACUUAUCGAUGUAUCCGCGUCGCAUUAGCUAGUUGGUAAGGUAACGGCUUACCAAGGCAACGAUGCGUAGCCGACCUGAGAGGGUGAUCGGCCACACGGGAACUGAGAGACGGACUAGAAUCCUAAGGGAGGCAGGAGUAGGGAAGGAGCCGCAAGGGGCGAAAGCCUGACGGAGCAACGAAGCGUGAGUGAUGAAGGUCGUCGGAGCGUAAAACUCUGUUAUUAGGGAAGAACAAAUGUGUAAGUAACUAUGCACGUCUUGACGGUACCUAAUCAGAAAGCCACGGCUAACUACGUG
This 497-nucleotide ribosomal RNA is filed under the name uncultured bacterium. Its description in RNAcentral is "partial 16S ribosomal RNA". It matches the Rfam family "Bacterial small subunit ribosomal RNA", at positions 28 to 507 of the family's 1533-position model. The record is from RNAcentral.